AACGCACAUUGCACCCAUUGGUAAUCCUUUGGGUAUACCUGUUCGAGCGCCGUUUGUGUCUAAGGCUCAGCCUUGCGUUGGAAUGUCCCGGUAGGGACUCUCCGAAACACAUCGGCGCCCGUCUUGGCUUCGAACGCAACGAAAUGCGCGAAGGGUCCGGAUGGGCGGCCAGUCUACGAAAGCAUGGCCUCGGAUCAGGUAGGGAUACCCGCUGAACUUAA
RNAcentral lists this unclassified non-coding RNA (221 nucleotides) under uncultured Ascomycota. RNAcentral describes it as "sequence contains 5.8S rRNA gene, ITS2, 28S rRNA gene". Lineage: Eukaryota; Fungi; Ascomycota. The record is from RNAcentral.